This 1514-nucleotide ribosomal RNA is filed under the name uncultured bacterium. RNAcentral's name for it is "bacterial SSU rRNA". It matches the Rfam family "Bacterial small subunit ribosomal RNA". The record is from RNAcentral.
GGCUCAGGACGAACGCUGGCGGCGUGCCUAACACAUGCAAGCCGCGGGAGAAAGCCCCUUCGGGGGCGAGUAGACCGGCGGACGGGUGAGGAACGCGUGAGUGAUCUGCCCGGAGGCGGGGGACAACCCGGGGAAACCCGGGCUAAUACCGCAUGGGUGCGGCGGGGGUGGAGCCCUGUCGUGAAAGCUGGCCUCUGCGUGCAAGCCAGCGCCUCCGGAGGAGCUCGCGUCCUAUCAGCUAGUUGGUGGGGUAAGGGCCCACCAAGGCGAUGACGGGUAGCUGGCGUGAGAGCGUGGCCAGCCACACUGGGACUGAGACACGGCCCAGACUCCUACGGGAGGCAGCAGUGGGGAAUCUUGCACAAUGGGUGAGAGCCUGAUGCAGCGACGCCGCGUGGGGGAGGACGGCCGAGAGGUUGUAAACCCCUGUCGGGCGGGAAGAAUCAAGGGAUCGGCGAACAGCCGGUGCCCCUGACGGUACCGCCAGCAGGAAGCUCCGGCUAACUCCGUGCCAGCAGCCGCGGUAAAACGGAGGGAGCGAGCGUUGUCCGGAAUUACUGGGCGUACAGGGCGCGUAGGCGGCCGGAUCAGUCGUGUGUGAACGCCCCGGGCUCAACCCGGGAGGUGCAGGCGAAACUGUCCGGCUGGAGUCAGGCAGAGGCGAGCGGAAUUCCCGGUGUAGCGGUGGAAUGCGUAGAUAUCGGGAGGAACACCGACGGCGAAGGCAGCUCGCUGGGCCUGUUCUGACGCUGAAGCGCGAAAGCGUGGGGAUCAAACAGGAUUAGAUACCCUGGUAGUCCACGCCGUAAACGCUGGGCACUAGGCAUGGGGAGGUCUGGUCCUUUCCGUGCCGCAGCUAACGCAUUAAGUGCCCCGCCUGGGGAGUACGGCCGCAAGGCUGAAACUCAAAGGAAUUGACGGGGGCCCGCACAACCGGUGGAGCAUGUGGUUUAAUUCGAAGCAACGCGAAGAACCUUACCAGGCCUUGACAUGUCGGAGGUAGGGGCCGGGAAACCGGCGCCGACCCUUCGGGGAGCCGUCACAGGUGCUGCAUGGCUGUCGUCAGCUCGUGUCGUGAGAUGUUGGGUUAAGUCCCGCAACGAGCGGAACCCUUGCCCGUAGUUGCCAGCGGGUGAUGCCGGGGACUCUACGGGGACUGCCGGUGAUAAACCGGAGGAAGGUGGGGACGACGUCAAGUCAUCAUGGCCCUUAUGGUCUGGGCGACACACGUGCUACAAUGGCCGGCACAAAGGGUGGCGAUGCCGCGAGGCGGAGCGAAUCCCAAAAAACCGGUCCCAGUUCGAAUUGCAGUCUGCAACCCGACUGCAUGAAGGCGGAAUCGGUAGUAAUCGUGGGUCAGCCAUACCACGGUGAAUGCGUUCCCGGGCCUUGUACACACCGCCCGUCAAGCGAUGGAAGCUGGGGGUACCCGAAGCCGGUGACCCAACCCCUUCGGGGGAGGGAGCCGUCGAAGGUAAGCCCAGUGACUGGCGCUAAGUCGAACAAGGUAGCCG